AAUGGGCUUACGCCUGAACCAGCCAAGUCGCGUGAGGGAAGACUGCCCUAUGGGUUGUAAACCUCUUUGUCAGGGAGCAACAACAUCUACGAGUAGGUUGUUACGAGAGUACCUGAAGAAAAAGCAUCGGCUAACUCCGUCGCC
RNAcentral lists this ribosomal RNA (144 nucleotides) under uncultured bacterium. Its description in RNAcentral is "partial 16S ribosomal RNA". It matches the Rfam family "Bacterial small subunit ribosomal RNA", at positions 370 to 509 of the family's 1533-position model. The record is from RNAcentral.